GAUGAACGCUGGUGGCGUGCCUAAUACAUGCAAGUCGAGCGAACGGACGAGAAGCUUGCUUCUCUGAUGUUAGCGGCGGACGGGUGAGUAACACGUGGUUAACCUACCUAUAAGACUGGGAUAACUUCGGGAAACCGGAGCUAAUACCGGAUAAUAUUUUGAACCGCAUGGUUCAAAAGUGAAAGACGGUCUUGCUGUCACUUAUAGAUGGAUCCGCGCUGCAUUAGCUAGUUGGUAAGGUAACGGCUUACCAAGGCAACGAUGCAUAGCCGACCUGAGAGGGUGAUCGGCCACACUGGAACUGAGACACGGUCCAGACUCCUACGGGAGGCAGCAGUAGGGAAUCUUCCGCAAUGGGCGAAAGCCUGACGGAGCAACGCCGCGUGAGUGAUGAAGGUCUUCGGAUCGUAAAACUCUGUUAUUAGGGAAGAACAUAUGUGUAAGUAACUGUGCACAUCUUGACGGUACCUAAUCAGAAAGCCACGGCUAACUACGUG
RNAcentral lists this ribosomal RNA (497 nucleotides) under uncultured bacterium. Its description in RNAcentral is "partial 16S ribosomal RNA". It matches the Rfam family "Bacterial small subunit ribosomal RNA", at positions 28 to 507 of the family's 1533-position model. The record is from RNAcentral.